This is an RNA transcript of Fundulus heteroclitus (mummichog), 4840 nucleotides long. It is a transcript of the gene named N-acetylglucosamine-1-phosphodiester alpha-N-acetylglucosaminidase, with no coding region annotated. NCBI's taxonomy places the organism in Eukaryota, Metazoa, Chordata, Actinopteri, Cyprinodontiformes, Fundulidae. The transcript is spliced from 13 exons. The record is from RefSeq and is a predicted model, not a curated record.
AAACACGGCACGGGGGCGGUAAUGCAACAGAUUCGAUGCGAUCUGCCGCAAAGAAGAAGAAGAAGAAGUCCGAGAGCAGUUCGGCCGUGUAGUUCUCCGCCAUAUGGCAGCAGAGUGGCCGAAAUGCUGUUACCCGUGGCUGCUGUUGUGGCUCUGCAUCCAGGCGUGUGAGUCCGGAAACACUCGACGCUCUCUGGACGAUGACCUCCUCCGGCCGUACGCUCAGGGCCACGGCCCCGCCCACUCUCACCGCCACGUCAGGGACUGUCAGGCCGUCACGUAUGGCAACAGCACGCAUGAGAGCUGGCCCUCCAGCCGCCGAGGUGGGCAGCCGGUCGCCGAGUCCAAGGUGUUCGUGACGCAUGUGGAGGAAGGCAACAGAUGGGUUUUGGGUCACAUGACGGUGGUCCACGACCCGCUGGAGACGGUGUCUGUGUUGGAGCCGGGAGGGCCCGGCGGCUGCAGCGCGCAUCGCAGGGCGUCUGUGGAGGAGACGGCUGAAGCUGCCAGCUGCCUUUAUGCCCAGAACGGUGGAUUCUUCAACACAGAGUCAGGAGCGUGUCUGGGAAACGUGGUGAGCAGCGGCACGCUGGUGCAGGACAGCGGCGGGGUGCAAAAUGCCCAGUUUGGGAUCAGGAGGGACGGCAACCUGGUGUUUGGGUAUCUCUCAGAGAAAGACGUUCUGGAUCAGUCCAACCCGUUCGUCCAGCUGGUCAGUGGAGUCGUAUGGCUGCUGAGGAACGGAAAGAUUUACAUCAACCAGAGUUUGGAGGCCGAGUGCAGCGACACCCAGGAGACGGGGACAUUAAAGCAUUUUGUGGACGUGGUGUCGGCCAGAACAGCGGUGGGCCACGAUGAAAACGGAAGACUGUUCCUGUUUCAGAUCGAUGGGCAAACAGGACAAAGAGGCAUGAAUCUCUGGCAGGUGGCCGAGUUCCUGAAGAAAAAUGGAGUCAUCAACGCCAUUAACCUGGAUGGAGGCGGGUCUGCCACCUAUGUGGUUAAUGGCUCUCUGGCCAGCUACCCCUCUGAUCACUGCGCAUCUGACAGCAGGUGGCGCUGCAGCAGAGACGUCUCCACAGUGCUGUGCGUUCAUCAGCGGCGGUGCCGUCCGGCGAACUGCAGCGAACACGGCGAAUGCGUGGACGGACGCUGCCGGUGCCACCAGGGUUGGCAGGGUCCCGCCUGCGACUCCCUGGUGUGUCAGACGACCGCCUGCUCCCCCCACGGCGUCUGCACCGCCGGUGGCUGUGUCUGUGACGCCGGAUGGAGAGGGACCAACUGCAGCGAAGGCUGCCUCCCAGGAUUCUACGGUGACUCCUGCAACCAAACCUGCUCCUGUUCCAACGGCAGCUCCUGUGAUCCGGUGAGCGGACGCUGCCGCUGCCCUCCUGGUUUCCUCGGGGAAAGGUGUGAAAAAGCGUGCCCUUUGGGUUUCUUUGGUGCGUCUUGCGCUCAGGAGUGUCACUGCGACGACUUGUGCCCAUGUGACCCGCAGACAGGAAGCUGUAACGCCACGUUACCAAAGGAGACCAAUUACACCUUACACAGAGCUGGACACUGCCUGGCCAAACAGAUGUUUACAUCCUGGAGACAAAGAGAAGAAGCUCCCAGAGAGCAGCCGUACCUAACAGAGCGAUCAUGGCUGAUCAUCACCCUCGUCCUCACCUCUCUUCUGGUGGCCGUCCUGCUCGUCUCCCUCCGUCGGGCGUGUCGCAGAUCCUCCGCCUCCCACUUCCCUCAGCGGCAGGACUAUUCCUAUGUGCCGCUGCGGGACAUCAACGGAGCCGCAGAAACCGGGAAAUCUGCACCGGGAACCUUAGAACUGGAAGACUCUGACUCCCAGGAGGAGGUUUUUACUCCGUCACACUCGGGGAGGUCAUAGCUGCACGGAGGACCAAGGAUGAGGAGUGAGAGCGCUAUUAUUGCACAAAAACACGCACUUGAUGCUCUGCCUGCUGACGUGAAACGCCACCAAGCACAACACUUUGACUAUAUUCCUCACAUCCAGAAGCUUUUGGCAGCUUUUCUGAAGUUUGCUCUGGAUUUUUGCUUCGCCUCCAGAUGAACAGAAAGGGAUAAAAGCGGGAUCUUUGCCUCUAAUCUCUGGGGUCUUUGUCAGCUCAAGCAAUGAUUCACAAAAAGUGUAACAAUUUUGCAAGAAGUUGCUUCUGGAUUUUUGCUGUGUUGGCUGCAGCUGUACUGCCGGGGGUCAGUGUGUCACUCCCGUCCUGGCCCACAUUCCUCUCGGCUCGUUGACCCGACCUGCAGUGCAAAGCUACCGCUCAACCUCGGCUGACUUCUCGUCUCUACAACAACAGUCAGCUGGUGGCGGUGAUAACGGCCAGCUGAGGGGGGGGGGUGCCUCAGAUAUUCUGGAUCCUCUAAAACGACCUUCGCUGCUCUGGUUGACCGCUACUCCUUGAUCCUCAGCAGAAGAGAGAUAUUUUAUAGCUGGGGAAUGGAUUGGGUUUAGGUCAGUCUCUGGGAAACAAACUGUCGUUCUACAUCUUAUUUAAACAAGCUGAGCUCUUGGUUGUGGUGAUUCUUUGACUUUUAUUGUUUUAAGGUGCUUUUUCUGCAUGUUUUCUUGGGUCAUAGUUUGGGUACCAACCCCAGAUUUCAUUCUGAAUCAACUUCAGCCUGUAAUUAAUUUACCAACCAUCGGAAAGCUCCAACAAAGACCCCCCUUAAAUCACGAUGGAGGAUUUCAGGAGGUGGCUGUAAGUGUUUUUUAAGCGCUUCGCCAACCAUCGGCAGCCAAAUAAACUUUCCCGGGCGCCUUUUACGUCGAUAUCCAGCAAAUAUUGCUCUAGGAUGGCCACCGUUAGACAAACAUUUCUCCAGGAUGCCCUGUGACUCAUCUGGUAGCUCAACGCAGAGUUGUUGAUCUCACUAUCAGCUCACGGAGAACAGGGUUGUGCAACCCAGAUUUCAAAUAUUAGCCAUGUUGCAUAAGGAAAGCAGCUCUGUUGUUGUGACGGAUGUAAUGUACUACAGUCAAAGCUUGUUAUGUACGUUUUAUUUCUCAUGACACUGACAGUUAUGUCUUCGCUCAGAACAUUGAUUUACUUGCAUUUCCUGGAGCGCCGGUGACCCUAAGCUCUGUUACAACAUCAUGCAGAACCAAGAAUUUAAUGAUUUUCUUCUUGGGGAGUUGAUGUCGCUGUCUCGAUGAUGAGCUGCGGUCGGUAAAAAUGCAAAAACAUUUUGUGUUUUCUGACACAAUAAUAGAAAGGAAACACUUUGUGUGGAAUGUAAGACUUGGCAGGGAACAGGGAGACCAUAAAAGUACCUGAAUCAUUACCCAGUGUCCUGCGGGCUCCAAACCAUCAAGGGGUUUUAUUUCUCCUGGUCAUUUCUGCUCUUCGCGUUGCGUCUUCACUUUAAGAGCAACUUUUUGAGCUUUUAUCUUAGUUUAUACCUAAAAUCUGAGGAAGUUAGCCAGACUUCAGGGAAAGGUGACUUACUGGGUAGCUGGACGAUGUUCAGGGCCGAGGGUCGGCUCUUUGAUCGUGUCUUAAUACGUUUUUAUGGCUCGCUGGGACAAAAUGUACCAGAACCGGCUGGAGGGACAAACAUGACUAAACAUUGCCCCUAAAGCAAAAAAUACUCCUUAGGUCUGCAAUUUCAAACUUUGUUUAUUGAGCGUAUGAAUGUAUUAAAAAGAUGGUUUGAAUCCAAAUUAUUGAGGAUGGUGGUGAUGCAACACACUGGAGCCCAAACAUCCCCAGAGGAAAGGAGCAACAAGGCACAUCUUAUCAGCGUUCUGGUGUUAGAACGGGACAGGUGUGGAAACAUGACGGAUAACUAGCUUUCCACCGUCCCGCCUCAACCGUUUGGGGUAUUCUAUUUUUCCACACGGAUGUUUUUGCAGCGGUUUCUGUUUUGUUAGCUGGAAAAGUUCCCACCGCUGUUGUACAACAGAGCUUGUGUGUCCCAGUCCCAGUAAUAACACGGCAAAGCAACCUAAGAGCACAACAGCAACACCCAGAAUGCACCAAAGGUGUUCCUGGAAACAGGUUAGACUUUUUACCGACCAGACCAGGGGUGUCCAAACUUCUCGGUACAUGGGCCAAAAUGUUCAACUCAAAAGAACUUGAGGGCCAGAAAAUAAAUAGUUUUUAAAAAAUGCUAUUGUUUUAUCUGUUUGUAAAAAGAUGAUAAUUUGAAAUUAGUCUGGUUUUCUGUAGGAAAUUAAUGUGUAAAUCAUGGUAGAUCCAAAGGUUUUGUUUCUUUGUUGUAUUGAAAGUUGGUCACCCAGUUUGCAAAAUAUUUUGAAUAAUUAUUUAACAAUAAUAAGAUUAACUCUUUUUGUUCUAGCAAUAUAAGAGCAUUUGGGUCAAUUGUUCUUUGCAAACACUUCCUGCAGUCAGCCAAUUUUCAUAAUUGAAUUCAAAGCAGAUUUUAAUGCACCAGAGUCUGCGUUUGAAUAAUCAAAUGUUGUUGGAUAGUUGUGGUCAUAUUUGCUAUGAAAUUAAAGAGAAUGUCAAAAGUGUGUUUAUUAAAAGAUGAAUACUUUGUGUUGUACUGAAUAUUUUCAGUUGUUUUCUCUAAUAAUUUUGCCCUAAUUAAAAACUAAAAUCUUCCAUCUACAUCAGCCACCUGUGCUGGUGGACCAAAUCUUUCUUGGACUAGACUGACCACAACUAAACUCACCUAAAAGUAAAAUAUAGCAUCACAAGGUAAAAAUAAAAACCACAAAAGUUCAAUCUCACAUUUAACUCGUUAAAGAAUGGUCCGUGGUUACAAGAUUACAAUCCAGUAUGUAUGUGUGUGUAUAUAUGUAUAUAGGAAUUUAUAAAUGUGUUAUUUAACUAGAGUAUUGUUUUUCCAAAAC